UUUCGAUCGGCAUUCGGGGUAAUGAGUGUCUAUCGGGACGUCGCGACGGUUGUCACGGGCUCGAUGGGAGUUUCGGAUCGUGACACUGGGAGCGUGCAUGCUUUUAUAACAUUUCUGGUACUUUGAUAAAAAGUGAUGAUUUCUAUGAUUGAACUUUGUUUUGCUACACAUGAUUUCGGCAUCGUUUUGCCAAGUGAAAUAUUGCACAAUGAUUUUACGGUAUCAUGUUUGCAAGGCACAAACCCCUUAUUUGUGAUUUGAUUUUUAUUCUGAGGGAUUGACCUAACGUGUAAUCAUCGACGUGUAUGGUCCACCGCAAAUAGGUAAAGGCAUCUCAUAGCAUUUUAUCUUAAGUCGCUCCGUUGUUAGAGAUCAAGUCGUAGCACUUUAUUUAAUAAGUUGUAAAUGGAUAUUGAUUUUGUUAUAAGUAAAUAAUUGAAGAAUGUGAAUUUCGUUGUAUAUACUUGUGAUUAAAUGGUUUAAAGCUUGAAUCGAU
Non-coding RNA from Theobroma cacao (cacao), 496 nucleotides. Lineage: Eukaryota; Viridiplantae; Streptophyta; Magnoliopsida; Malvales; Malvaceae. The record is from RefSeq and is a predicted model, not a curated record.